AAAAACCACAGUUUUAAUUUUUUAUUCAACAUUCGAUUGUUUGUUUUAUUAAAAUAAAUUAUAAUUAGUAUUUUUAUUGUUAGAUGAUAAAACAUGAAUAGUACUUUAUACGUGAUUAUUUUUUUAUUAUUUUUUUAAUUUUUAAAAUAAGAUGGACGAUCAAACGUUGGACACGGAAACCCACAACUGCACUUAAA
Molecule: microRNA precursor, 197 nt
Filed under: Oryza punctata
Lineage: Eukaryota; Viridiplantae; Streptophyta; Magnoliopsida; Poales; Poaceae
Description: MIR812 microRNA precursor family
Rfam family: MIR812 microRNA precursor family
Source: Rfam by way of RNAcentral